Molecule: transfer RNA, 64 nt
Filed under: Perinereis aibuhitensis
Lineage: Eukaryota; Metazoa; Annelida; Polychaeta; Phyllodocida; Nereididae
Also listed under: 1 other name
Description: tRNA-Ile
Source: RNAcentral
GAUGUUGCGCCGGACGAACGGAUAACUUUGAUGACGUUAAAUAUGAGGACCUCCUCCGACAUCU